UUCCCUCAGUAACGGCGAGUGAAGCGGGAACAGCCCAGCGCCGAAUCCCCCGGCGUACAGCCGGCGGGAACUGUGGCGUUUAGGACAGCCCCUGCCGGGCCGCACGGUCGCCCAAGUCCUCCUGAUCGGGGCCUUUCCCASAGUGGGUGUUAGGCCUGUACUGGCGACCGUCGGUCCUGCCCGGAGCGUCCUGGGAGUCGGGUUGCUUGUGAUUGCAGCCCAAAGUGGGUGGUAAACUCCAUCUAAGGCUAAAUACAACACGAGUCCGAUAGCGAACAAGUACCGUGAGGGAAAGUUGAAAAGAACUUUGAAGAGAGAGUUCAAUAGUACGUGAAACCGCUCAGAGGCAAACGGGUGGAACCGCAAAGUCGACCCGCAGGAUUCAACCCGGCGGACAGGCUGCGGACGGAGAGGCCGCGGAUCCCUAGGACCGACUCUUCGUUCGGCGGCCGUCCACGGGUGCACUUUCUGCGGGGAGAGCGCCACGACCGGUUGAGCGGCGGCGAUAAGCCCGUCGGGUGGGUAGCGUCUCGUUCGCGGGACGUGAUGACCCGGCGCGGCGCACGCCUGCCGCGCGACCGAGGAUCGACACCGCGCCCGCCACACGGCACGGGCCCGCGGCCUCCUSGGCGAGACCAAGCUGGGUGGACUGGCGUCAGUGCUCCCUAACCGCUCGUCGUCUAGGACCGCGUCGGCUCCCGUAGGGCGCCCUGGGUCAGUGGCGAUUCGGUCGGCCCUCUACCCGACCCGUCYUGAAACACGGACCAAGGAGUCUAACAUGUGCGCGAGUCAUGGGGCUCUACGAAACCUAAAGGCGCAAUGAAAGUGAAGGCCGCUUCCGSUGGCUGAGGUGAGAUCCCGGCCCGCGGGUCGGGCGCAUCACCGGCCCGUCUCGUCCGCAUCGUCGGUGAGGCGGAGCAAGAGCGUACACGUUGGGACCCGAAAGAUGGUGAACUMUGCCUGAGUAGGACGAAGCCAGAGGAAACUCUGGUGGAAGUCCGUAGCGAUUCUGACGUGCAAAUCGAUCGUCAAACUUGGGUAUAGGGGCGAAAGACUAAUC
RNAcentral lists this ribosomal RNA (1060 nucleotides) under Phoronis australis. Its description in RNAcentral is "eukaryotic LSU rRNA". It matches the Rfam family "Eukaryotic large subunit ribosomal RNA", at positions 75 to 936 of the family's 3401-position model. Lineage: Eukaryota; Metazoa; Phoronida; Phoronidae. The record is from RNAcentral.